Long non-coding RNA from Belonocnema kinseyi, 1260 nucleotides. RefSeq lists it as uncharacterized. The record is from RefSeq and is a predicted model, not a curated record. NCBI's taxonomy places the organism in Eukaryota, Metazoa, Arthropoda, Insecta, Hymenoptera, Cynipidae. The transcript has 2 exons.
CUAGCAGUUUCAUAUCCCUUACGGGACAAAAAAAACUUUCCUAUUCUUCGCAUUUUUUCUCUGCUUAUUUUUUAUGCUUUCCAUGAUUGCAUCAUUCCAUAGUAACAGUGGGGUCCAUUUUUCGUCCUUCAAAUGACAUCGGGGGAAUGGAAACAUGACUAUCAUGUGUUGAGUGGAGAGGAAUGGAACAUAUGCCGUCACAUUAAUCGACAGAUUCAUCAGCGAUCUUUCUACCCUACAUGGAUACUACGCUUUGACAGGCGAAUCAUUGAAUAAUGUGGGAGCUACACUGGGAUCAGUUACUACCAUUUACAUAUUUGAGUUCUGGAAGUUUCUCAAUCACUUCUUUAAAAAAUUCUGAUUAUAAAAAGUAAUCACUUCAAGAAAACAGGUGAUUUCACAUUACACCAAACACCUUUAGCAAGGGUUUCUAUUAUGAUCUACUUUAAUUUAUGAAGCUGCCAUUUACAUAUUUGAGUUCUGGAAGUUUCUCAAUCACUUCUUAACAAAAAUUCUGAUUAUAAAAAGUAAUUACUUCAAGAAAACAGAUGAUUUUACAUUACACCAAACACCUUUAGCAAGGGUUUCUAUUAUGAUAUACUUAAUUUAUGAAGCUGCCAUUUACAUCUUUGAGUUCUGGAAGUUUCUCAAUCACUUCUUAACAAAAAUUCUAAUCAUAAAAAGUAAUCACUUCAAGAAAACAGAAGGUGAUUUCACUUUACGCCAAACACUAUCAGCGAUGGUUUCAAUGAUGACGUCUUUUGCACGUUGAAAUGCAAUAACUUCUGUUGUGAUUUAAUGUUUACAACGUGAAGAUUUACACUUGUUCCUCGUUAUUCCUGUUUUUCAGGCUCACUUUCAUUUUGCUUAUUGCGUGUUAUUGAUGUUUGAUAUAAUUUUGAUUUUAAAACUUCGCCAGAUGCUACCUUCCAAAGAUUUAAGAGCUACUGGGUACUUCUGAUGAUUCUGCAAAAAGGUAAUCCCGAAUCAGUAAUCCAAAUAUUUUCCUAGAGUUGUUUAAUACUAUUAAGUAACUUUCACUUUUUGACCUGAUCAGGAUCUAUUUGCACAAAAAAUCAUAACCUGCUCGGAAUCAAAUAUAUUGAAAAUUGAUUCAAGAUAAGAAUUUAUCUCACUCACUGAUUUUAUGUAUGUAUGUAUAUAACUGUUAUUCAAAAAAUGAAUAUACCAUGUGUUCUGGGUGUUAUUUCUUAAUGAUGUAAAGAAAAAAAAAUAAAGAAAAAAGUGUAACUUUGUAAA